Molecule: transfer RNA, 74 nt
Filed under: Bacteroidales bacterium
Lineage: Bacteria; Pseudomonadati; Bacteroidota; Bacteroidia; Bacteroidales
Description: tRNA-Val
Rfam family: tRNA
About the family: Transfer RNA (tRNA) molecules are approximately 80 nucleotides in length. Their secondary structure includes four short double-helical elements and three loops (D, anti-codon, and T loops). Further hydrogen bonds mediate the characteristic L-shaped molecular structure. tRNAs have two regions of fundamental functional importance: the anti-codon, which is responsible for specific mRNA codon recognition, and the 3' end, to which the tRNAs corresponding amino acid is attached (by aminoacyl-tRNA synthetases). tRNAs cope with the degeneracy of the genetic code in two manners: having more than one tRNA (with a specific anti-codon) for a particular amino acid; and 'wobble' base-pairing, i.e. permitting non-standard base-pairing at the 3rd anti-codon position.
Source: RNAcentral
GGCUAAGUAGUUCAGUGGAUAGAACGCCCUUCUAACUAAAGGGAUAGUCCCGGGUUCGAAUCCCGGCUUAGAAU